AGAUUUGGGAGUGCUCGCAAGAGAACCGGAACACAGGUGCUGCAUGGCUGUCGUCAGCUCGUGUCGUGAGAUGUUGGGUUAAGUCCCGCAACGAGCGCAACCCUUGUCAUUAGUUGCCAUCAUUUGGUUGGGCACUCUAAUGAGACUGCCGGUGACAAACCGGAGGAAGGUGGGGAUGACGUCAAGUCCUCAUGGCCCUUAUGGGUAGGGCUUCACACGUCAUACAAUGGUCGGUACAGAGGGUUGCCAACCCGCGAGGGGGGAGCUAAUCCCACAAAGCCGAUCGUAGUCCGGAUUGUUCUCUGCAACUCGAGAGCAUGAAGUCGGAAUCGCUAGUAAUCGCAGGUCAGCAUACUGCGGUGAAUACGGUUCCCGGGUCUU
Molecule: ribosomal RNA, 381 nt
Filed under: uncultured Rhodocyclaceae bacterium
Lineage: Bacteria; Pseudomonadati; Pseudomonadota; Betaproteobacteria; Rhodocyclales; Rhodocyclaceae
Description: bacterial SSU rRNA
Rfam family: Bacterial small subunit ribosomal RNA
Source: RNAcentral